GGGGCCAUAGCGCAGUUGGUAGCGCGCUUGAAUGGCAUUCAAGCGGUCGGGGGUUCGAUCCCCCCUGGCUCCA
This 73-nucleotide transfer RNA is filed under the name Candidatus Midichloria mitochondrii IricVA. It matches the Rfam family "tRNA". Rfam says of the family: Transfer RNA (tRNA) molecules are approximately 80 nucleotides in length. Their secondary structure includes four short double-helical elements and three loops (D, anti-codon, and T loops). Lineage: Bacteria; Pseudomonadati; Pseudomonadota; Alphaproteobacteria; Rickettsiales; Candidatus Midichloriaceae. The record is from Rfam by way of RNAcentral.